RNAcentral lists this ribosomal RNA (1309 nucleotides) under uncultured bacterium. RNAcentral describes it as "bacterial SSU rRNA". It matches the Rfam family "Bacterial small subunit ribosomal RNA", at positions 28 to 1381 of the family's 1533-position model. The record is from RNAcentral.
AACGUACGCUGGCGGCACGCCUAACACAUGCAAGUCGAACGAAGUAGCAAUACUUAGUGGCAGACGGGUGAGUAACAUGUAGGUAUCUGCCCUUUGGCCUGGAAUAACACGAGGAAACUUGUGCUAAUACCGGAUAAGUCUUUACGGAGAAAGCUUUAUGCACCAUUGGAUGAGCCUGCACUUGAUUAGUUUGUUGGUGGGGUAAUGGCCUACCAAGACUGUGAUCAAUAGCUGAUUUGAGAGGAUGAUCAGCCACAUUGGGACUGAGACACGGCCCAAACUCCUACGGGAGGCAGCAGUGGGGAAUCUUGCACAAUGGAGGAAACUCUGAUGCAGCGAUGCCGCGUGAGUGAAGAAGGCCCUUGGGUUGUAAAGCUCUUUCGUCGGGGAAGAAAAUGACUGUACCCGAAUAAGAAGGUCCGGCUAACUUCGUGCCAGCAGCCGCGGUAAUACGAAGGGACCUAGCGUAGUUCGGAAUUACUGGGCUUAAAGAGUUCGUAGGUGGUUGAAAAAGUUAGUGGUGAAAUCCCAGAGCUUAACUCUGGAACUGCCAUUAAAACUUUUCAGCUAGAGUAUGAUAGAGGAAAGCAGAAUUUCUAGUGUAGAGGUGAAAUUCGUAGAUAUUAGAAAGAAUACCAAUUGCGAAGGCAGCUUUCUGGAUCAUUACUGACACUGAGGAACGAAAGCAUGGGUAGCGAAGAGGAUUAGAUACCCUCGUAGUCCAUGCCGUAAACGAUGUGUGUUAGACGUUGGAAAUUUAUUUUCAGUGUCGCAGGGAAACCGAUAAACACACCGCCUGGGGAGUACGACCGCAAGGUUAAAACUCAAAUGAAUUGACGGGGACCCGCACAAGUAGUGGAGCAUGUGGUUUAAUUCGAAGAUACGCGCAGAACCUUACCAACACUUGACAUGUUCGUCGCGACUUUAAGAGAUUAGAGUUUUCGGUUCGGCCGGACGAAACACAGGUGCUGCAUGGCUGUCGUCAGCUCGUGUCGUGAGAUGUUGGGUUAAGUCCCGCAACGAGCGCAACCCUCACUUUUAGUUGCCAUCAUUAAGUUGGGCACUCUGAAAGAACUGCCAGUGAUAAGCUGGAGGAAGGUGGGGAUGACGUCAAGUCCUCAUGGCCCUUACGUGUUGGGCUACACACGUGCUACAAUGGUAUCUACAACAGGAAGCAAGACUGCGAAGUUAAGCAAAUCCCUAAAAGAUACCUCAGUUCGGAUUGCGCUCUGCAAACUCGAGUGCAUGAAGCUGGAAUUACUAGUAAUCGUGGAAUCAGCGUGCCACGGUGAAAUGCGUUCCCGGGUCU